Molecule: ribosomal RNA, 482 nt
Filed under: uncultured bacterium
Lineage: Bacteria
Description: partial 16S ribosomal RNA
Rfam family: Bacterial small subunit ribosomal RNA
Source: RNAcentral
AUUGAACGCUGGCGGCAUGCUUUACACAUGCAAGUCGAACGGUAACAGGCCGCAAGGUGCUGACGAGUGGCGAACGGGUGAGUAAUGCAUCGGAACGUGCCCAGUCGUGGGGGAUAACUACUCGAAAGAGUAGCUAAUACCGCAUACGAUCUAUGGAUGAAAGCGGGGGACCGUAAGGCCUCGCGCGAUUGGAGCGGCCGAUGUCAGAUUAGGUGGUUGGUGGGGUAAAGGCUCACCAAGCCAACGAUCUGUAGCUGGUCUGAGAGGACAACCAGCCACACUGGGACUGAGACACGGCCCAGGCUCCUACGGGAGGCAGCAGUGGGGAAUUUUGGACAAUGGGCGCAAGCCUGAUACAGCAAGGCCGCGUGCAGGAAGAAGGCCUUCGGGUUGUAAACUGCUUUUGUACGGAACGAAACGGUUCUGGUUAAUACCCGGGGCUAAUGACGGUACCGUAAGAAUAAGCACCGGCUAACUACGUG